This is a long non-coding RNA of Ipomoea triloba (trilobed morning glory), 283 nucleotides long. RefSeq lists it as uncharacterized. The transcript is spliced from 2 exons. The record is from RefSeq and is a predicted model, not a curated record. Lineage: Eukaryota; Viridiplantae; Streptophyta; Magnoliopsida; Solanales; Convolvulaceae.
CAAGACUAUAAAUGGAGUAACAGCGCUAGUACCUCCCUCGGAAUCAGCCACCACAACUAAAGUGCUAACAGCAGCAUCAGUAUUGCAGCUCAUGAUGGGACUUGAGCUCGGACACGCUGCAGAGAUAAAUGCCACACUAUUGGAAGUGGACAAAUCUGUGAUUCAGAAGAUGCUGGACUUGCCUGACUCUGUGGUAGCAAAUAUUGGGGAAGCAAUUAAUAUGCUGAAAGAAGAAUAUUCUUGGUCCGACUGAGAUAUAUAAUGCACGAUUUCUAUUUCUUUC